AUUGAACGCUGGCGGUAGGCUUAACACAUGCAAGUCGUGCGAGAAAGUAUCUUCGGAUAUGAGUAGAGCGGCGGACGGGUGAGUAACGCGUAGGAAUCUACCUAGUAGAAGGGGAUAGCCCGGGGAAACUCGGAUUAAUACCGUGUACCUCCUUCGGGAGAAAGAAGGCCUCUCUUUGAAGCUUUCGCUAUUAGAUGAGCCUGCGUAAGAUUAGCUUGUUGGUGAGGUAAAGGCUCACCAAGGCGACGAUCUUUAGCGGGUCUGAGAGGACGAUCCGCCACAUUGGGACUGAGACACGGCCCAGACUCCUACGGGAGGCAGCAGUGGGGAAUAUUGGACAAUGGGCGCAAGCCUGAUCCAGCCAUACCGCGUGUGUGAAGAAGGCCCUAGGGUUGUAAAGCACUUUAAGUUGGGAAGAAAAGUUAUUGGUUAAUACCCAAUAACCGUGACAUUACCAUCAGAAUAAGGACCGGCUAAUUCCGUGCCAGCAGCCGCGGUAAUACGGAAGGUCCAAGCGUUAAUCGGAAUUACUGGGCGUAAAGCGCGCGUAGGUGGUUUAUUAAGUUGGAUGUGAAAUCCCCGGGCUCAACCUGGGAACUGCAUCCAAAACUGAUUCACUAGAGUACGAUAGAGGGAGGUAGAAUUCACAGUGUAGCGGUGGAAUGCGUAGAUAUUGUGAAGAAUACCAAUGGCGAAGGCAGCCUCCUGGAUCUGUACUGACACUGAGGUGCGAAAGCGUGGGUAGCGAACAGGAUUAGAUACCCUGGUAGUCCACGCCGUAAACGAUGUCAACUAGCUGUUGGAAAACUAUGUUUUUCAGUGGCGCAGCUAACGUAGUAAGUUGACCGCCUGGGGAGUACGGCCGCAAGGCUAAAACUCAAAUGAAUUGACGGGGACCCGCACAAGCGGUGGAGCAUGUGGUUUAAUUCGAUGCAACGCGAAAAACCUUACCUAUACUUGACAUACUUGGAAUGCUUUGUAAUGAAGCAGUGCCUUCGGGAGCCAAGAUACAGGUGCUGCAUGGCUGUCGUCAGCUCGUGUCGUGAGAUGUUCCGUUAAGUCGGAUAACGAGCGCAACCCUUACCCUUAUUUGCCAGCGAUUCGGUCGGGAACUAUAAGGGGACUGCCGGUGAUAAACCGGAGGAAGGUGAGGACGACGUCAAGUCAUCAUGGCCCUUACGUAUAGGGCUACACACGUGCUACAAUGGAGAAUACAGACGGACGCUAAGCCGCGAGGUGGUGCUAAUCCUAGAAAAUUCUUCGUAGUCCGGAUUGGAGUCUGCAACUCGACUCCAUGAAGUCGGAAUCGCUAGUAAUCGCGAAUCAGCAUGUCGCGGUGAAUACGUUCUCGGGUCU
RNAcentral lists this ribosomal RNA (1356 nucleotides) under uncultured bacterium. RNAcentral describes it as "bacterial SSU rRNA". It matches the Rfam family "Bacterial small subunit ribosomal RNA", at positions 28 to 1381 of the family's 1533-position model. The record is from RNAcentral.